Molecule: unclassified non-coding RNA, 324 nt
Filed under: soil metagenome
Description: partial contains 5.8S ribosomal RNA, internal transcribed spacer 2, and large subunit ribosomal RNA
Rfam family: 5.8S ribosomal RNA (bases 1-121)
Source: RNAcentral
GAUGAAGAACGUAGUGAACGUGCGAAACGUAAUGUGAAUUGCAGAAUUCAGUGAAUCAUCGAAUCUUUGAACGCAUCUUGCGCUCCUUGGUAUUCCGCAGGGCAUGCCUGUUCGAGCGUCAUUUCAACCCUCAAGCUCUGCUUGGUGUUGGGCCCUGCCCGCUGCGGCCGGCCCUAAAGACAGUGGCGGUGCCGCCUGGCCCUGAGCGUAGUACAUCUCUCGCUCCAGUGCCCGGUGGUAGCCUGCCAGAACCCCAACUCUCGUGGUUGACCUCGGAUCAGGUAGGGAUACCCGCUGAACUUAAGCAUAUCAAUAAGCGGAGGA